Molecule: unclassified non-coding RNA, 226 nt
Filed under: Ascomycota sp.
Lineage: Eukaryota; Fungi; Ascomycota
Description: partial contains small subunit ribosomal RNA, internal transcribed spacer 1, and 5.8S ribosomal RNA
Rfam family: Eukaryotic small subunit ribosomal RNA (bases 1-47)
Source: RNAcentral
AAAGUCGUAACAAGGUCUCCGUUGGUGAACCAGCGGAGGGAUCAUUACAGAGAAUCUCUUCUCGAACACAACCAUCGCGAACGUUACCACCGACCGUUGCCUCGGCGUCGGGCGCCCCUGUGGUGCCCCCGCCGGGGGGACGCAAGCAAACUCUUAGCAGUCAUUGGCCUCUCUGAGUAUGAUUUUAAACAAGUCAAAACUUUCAACAACGGAUCUCUUGGUUCUG